Molecule: transfer RNA, 77 nt
Filed under: Alphaproteobacteria bacterium
Lineage: Bacteria; Pseudomonadati; Pseudomonadota; Alphaproteobacteria
Description: tRNA-Met
Rfam family: tRNA
About the family: Transfer RNA (tRNA) molecules are approximately 80 nucleotides in length. Their secondary structure includes four short double-helical elements and three loops (D, anti-codon, and T loops). Further hydrogen bonds mediate the characteristic L-shaped molecular structure. tRNAs have two regions of fundamental functional importance: the anti-codon, which is responsible for specific mRNA codon recognition, and the 3' end, to which the tRNAs corresponding amino acid is attached (by aminoacyl-tRNA synthetases). tRNAs cope with the degeneracy of the genetic code in two manners: having more than one tRNA (with a specific anti-codon) for a particular amino acid; and 'wobble' base-pairing, i.e. permitting non-standard base-pairing at the 3rd anti-codon position.
Source: RNAcentral
CGCGGGAUGGAGCAGCCCGGUAGCUCGUCAGGCUCAUAACCUAAAGGUCGAAGUUUAAAAUCCUACUCCCGCAACCA